RNAcentral lists this unclassified non-coding RNA (222 nucleotides) under uncultured fungus. Its description in RNAcentral is "sequence contains ITS1". The record is from RNAcentral. Lineage: Eukaryota; Fungi.
GUAUUAAAAUGCGUUUAUCGCAGAUUACAUUCAUUGACUGAACAGAGUAUGUAAAGACAUAGGCAGACUUGCACCGAGAACACAGAGUCCCCAGUCCGCAUCUAACCUACAAAUGUGCACAGGUGUAAGUGGAUGAGCAGGGUGUGCACAUGCCUCGUGAAAGGCCAGCUACAACCCCUUUCAAAUUCGAUAAUGAUCCUUCCGCAGGUUCACCUACGGAAA